Molecule: transfer RNA, 64 nt
Filed under: Trimma okinawae (Okinawa rubble goby)
Lineage: Eukaryota; Metazoa; Chordata; Actinopteri; Gobiiformes; Gobiidae
Description: tRNA-Cys
Source: RNAcentral
AGUCCCGUGGUUUUACAUACAAGUUUGCAAAUCUUGAGUAGCAGAGUGACGCCUGCCGGGGCUU